This 545-nucleotide long non-coding RNA is filed under the name Pseudonaja textilis. Its description in RNAcentral is "lncRNA (ENSPTXG00000014276.1)". Lineage: Eukaryota; Metazoa; Chordata; Lepidosauria; Squamata; Elapidae. The record is from RNAcentral.
AUUUUGGCAUCAUGUUAUUACUCCUUCUUUCUCACAUUCUCUCUCUCUCUCUCUCUUUCUUCCUAGCCUGUAACUGUAACCCUGAUGGCUCUACUCACGGACGAGAAACUUGUGAUCCGGUUUCGGGUCAGUGUCGCUGCCUCCCCAAUGUAACCGGACGAGAGUGCACCCAGUGCCUGGAAGGCUAUUUUGAUCUACAGCCAGGGGUGGGGUGCAGAAGGGCAAUGCACCUGCCAUCCCGGCGUGACAGGACUAUCGUGCAAUCAGUGCCAGGCUGGGUUCUUUGGAUUCUCUUCUCAAGGCUGCCAAGCCUGCAACUGUUCCCAGAUUGGUUCGGUGUCCCUCCAGUGCCAUGACAACAGCACUUGUGUGUGUAAGAAGGGCUUUGUGGGUAACAAGUGCGACCGGUGUGAUGUGAACUACUUCUUCGACUUGGAAAGUAAGCAGUGCCAGGAGUGUCCCUUCUGCUACAGCCUCGUGAAAGAGGAGGUAGGAUUCUGCUUUGAUCAGCCAACUUAGUCAGCCUUUCAGUCAGAUUAAUUGAA